ACAAUCGUAAGUGAGUGCGACCUGAACGCGUCAGUGAAUGACGUAGCCUGAACGAUUCAUUCCUGAACUGGACUGAUCGGAUUGAAACCAAUGGAGCUACGAUCAACUUAAGCUUACGAUGUUUUUUGGGAAAUACAGCCCUGGUCAGAAUGACUAAUAUGAGAAGUGAAGACUCAUUUCAGUCUGAAGUCGACGCUGCCUCUCUGAUCUUGGAUGAAGGUGUGACUGUUGGUUAGUAUCAGGCGUCGAGGAGCUGCGGGAAAAUGAACGUUUUGAUGCAACGCCCUGAGAAACAGUGCGACCUGAGCUCAGGUCUGAACAGAACAAACGGUUAAAUUGAGCCAUCACCACCCAUCUCCUCUGUUUGCUUAAGUGUGUUACUGGGUUAUCUGGCCAAAGACUACUCAUCUUAUCAAACAUGCCGAGUCACCUCCCUUCAACUCUAGUGAAGACUUACGGUUUUGGGAAAGUACAUUGUGUAAAAGCACCACAAACGAAUGUCCCUGUUUCAGUCUAAAAGGUUUGACAGUCUGAUGUCAUAGAGAAUCUCUGGAAGCUUUGAAUUCUUGAUAAGAAGGUUCUGUUAUUUUUUAGAAUGAUGAUGAUAUGUGAAUUCAGAGUAGUGUAUUAGAACACACUGCGCUGCACACUGUAUCCCAUAAUGCAAAGUGCUCAUCAUGCUUUUAGCUCAGAUUGGCUGAAUGUUUACCCAAGAUUGGACCGAAAAUGCAAAAUAAGCGAAUUUGCAACUGGAUUUUGAAUUAUAUAAAAUGAGGUCUGUGUGGCAUUCAGAAUUGAUUUCCUGUUUAAUUUCUGUUUUUGAACUGAGAUAGCAAACAGGAUGAAGAGUUGCAAUAUGAUUUCAGUGUUUGAGGUGUCACCUACAUAAAUAAAAAUUCAACCCUUUAUCAAACGCCUAGCGACCACCCAAAGUGUCCAAAAAACUGCAUUGCAACAUGCUAAAACCACUUCAACACCUUAGCAACUGCUUAGCGGCCAUUUAAAACACUAAACAUUUGUGAAUCAGAACACUUGAUUUCCCAGAAUGCACUGCAUCUGUGUUAAAUUGUUUUGAGUUAUGGCGCUUUAAAGUCAUAUCAGAAAGAUUGUAAAUACGAGUUGAAUGUGCAUGAACUUUUUUAUGUAAAAACUUUUU
Long non-coding RNA from Cyprinus carpio carpio, 1156 nucleotides. The record is from Ensembl. Lineage: Eukaryota; Metazoa; Chordata; Actinopteri; Cypriniformes; Cyprinidae.